This 28-nucleotide small RNA is filed under the name Bombyx mori (domestic silkworm). RNAcentral's name for it is "ovarian small RNA-35857". Lineage: Eukaryota; Metazoa; Arthropoda; Insecta; Lepidoptera; Bombycidae. The record is from RNAcentral.
UGUCUUGGUCACCCGAUGAGCCUCGGUC